Molecule: long non-coding RNA, 1633 nt
Organism: Daucus carota subsp. sativus
Lineage: Eukaryota; Viridiplantae; Streptophyta; Magnoliopsida; Apiales; Apiaceae
Exons: 5
Source: RefSeq, a predicted model, not a curated record
CACUCCCAUUCUAUUAAAAUAAUAUAUAAACAUAAAAAAAUAAAUCAAAAGCUAUCAAUUCACAAAGAUUAGACUCAGAAUUAAAACACUCUCUCUUCCCCCUUUCAUCGGCGCUGCUCAAACGUAACCCUAGAACUCGAUUUGUCCAAUUACACCUGCAAUCUCCGAUUACACAUCUUAGUUUGUUCAUAUUAACACCUUUUCUUUGUUUCUUUCUAUCUAUUGUUCGAUUUUCUCGUUUGUUUCAAUCUUUUUGACAGAUUCAGAGUGGUGUGUGUUGGUGUUUGGAGCUUAAAGAUUCAGAGCUUGAGGAACGGAGUUUAUUCGAGCCUAAAGCCUGGAGCUUGGAGCCUAAAGCUUGGAGCUUGGAUAUUGGAGUUUCAGUUCACUUUUGGGGGUCCAAGUUUUGUUUUGUUUGGUUUUGGAGUUUGCUUGGUUAGAUUUCUCAAAGUACAUCCUGGUACUAAGAAGUCUCAAGAAUUUGCUAGCUUUGAGUCGGAGGUGAAGUUCUUCCUCGCGCCUUAUAUGGAUGGCAGUUGGAAUGAUUCUGUAGAUGCCUUCCUUGGUAGAGGAGAAGCAACUCAGCACCAAUGCAGAAAUUGUGGUGACAUCUUCUAUGACAAGUGUACCCAUGGAACAAUUGCUCUCAAUGCUGAUGAAAAUGCUCCACAAGUUCGAGUUUGUGAUCGUUGCAUGGAGGGCUUCUUCCAUACAUGUGAACGUCUUCUUUGGUGAAGCAACAACUCAAUUCCCAACUGCCAGGGGAGGGGUGAGUUAAUUGCUGGAAUUGCUUUUUUAACUCAACAUGCAUAUAUCUAGAUUUUAGCAGAUGCAAUGGGGCUAGGAAAAACUGUAAUGACCCAUUCGAAGCCAGAAAGUAUUACAGUAUCUGUUCAAUAUGGUGGUGAAAGAAGUAAUGACCCCGAGGUCAUAGCAAAACCUGAUGUAGUUUUAACAACUAUGGUGUCCUAACUGCAGCUUAUAAGAGUGAAGCUUAUAGGAAUAUAGCCGUUGGACUAUCUGAAACUUAUGGAAUUGACUACUCUGUUUCAUGAGAGGUUUUAAUUAAGCAACAAAUAACUCAUAUCCAAAUGGGGAUACAACAGCAAGGCUUGUUCAUUUACAUUUUAUUUUCUCUAUGCAGCUUGAAUUGUUGGUUGCAACACUUACAGAUCUCGAUGUAAUGGAUGGUAAAGUAGUGUUUUUUUAUUGGCAGAAUGCUCAAACUGGUUGUCGUGCAAUAGAAAAAGAAUAUUGUGAUUUUGUUGCUAUGCAUAUAAAAUCUUGUACUGAUAUAACCUGCACUUGCUUUUCGUAUCUUUCUGAAUGAUAGAGUUGAUUGCAAAAGUUUGUGGCAAUGAUGCAGAAAGGAGAAAAUAUAAUCGCUAAAAGACGGUUACUCUGGUUCAAGAUCCAGGGACGCUGGCUGAACCUAUCUGCUGACAUUAAGAAUACACAACUUUUUUAUUAUAUGUGAUGGUUUGGAUUUAUGACUUUGGUAAAUUAUGAUUUGGAAAUAUGUAUAGUAGUUGGUUUCGAUGUACGUAGUUUAUUUUGGAUUGGUAGAUGAUAUAAAUUGUACUUGGAAUCUUGGUAAGUGAAUGAAUAUUUUGAUAUAUUGAUUUUUUGGUUU